CCUGGUACGAUUCGCCUUGAGUUGAUCAUGGCUCAGAAUCACGCUGGCGGCGUGCCUCAGACAUGCAAGUCGAACGCGAAAGUUUCCUUCGGGAAGCGAGUAGAGUGGCGCACGGGUGAGUAACACGUAGGUAAUCUACCUUUGGAUGGGGAAUAACAACCGGAAACGGUUGCUAAUACCGCAUAAUGCAGCGGCACCUAAUGGUGACAGUUGUUAAAGCGGGGGAUCGAAAGACCUCGCGUCUAAAGAGGAGCCUGCGGCGGAUUAGCUAGUUGGUAAGGUAAUGGCUUACCAAGGCGAUGAUCCGUAGCCGGCCUGAGAGGGCGGUCGGCCACACUGACACUGACAUACGGGUCAGACUCCUACGGGAGGCAGCAGUCGGGAAUUUUGGGCAAUGGGCGAAAGCCUGACCCAGCAACGCCGCGUGAAGGAUGAAAUCCCUCGGGAUGUAAACUUCGCAAGAACAGGAAGAAUAAGUAGGGGACAAUACCCCCUAUGAUGACGGUACUGUUUGUAAGCUCCGGCUAACUCCGUGCCAGCAGCCGCGGUAAUACGGGGGGAGCAAGCGUUGUUCGGAUUUACUGGGCGUAAAGGGCGCGUAGGCGGCCACCGCAAGUCGGUUGUGAAGUCUCCGGGCUUAACCCGGAAAGGUCAAUCGAUACUGCGGGGCUAGAGUGCAGAAGGGGCAACUGGAAUUCUCGGUGUAGCGGUGAAAUGCGUAGAUAUCGAGAGGAACACC
This 739-nucleotide ribosomal RNA is filed under the name uncultured bacterium. RNAcentral describes it as "bacterial SSU rRNA". It matches the Rfam family "Bacterial small subunit ribosomal RNA", at positions 1 to 710 of the family's 1533-position model. The record is from RNAcentral.